UACGAGGGGGGCAAGCGUUGUUCGGAUUUAUUGGGCGUAAAGAGCGUGUAGGCGGCUAGGUAGGUCCGUUGUGAAAACUCGAGGCUCAACCUCGAGACGCCGAUGGAAACCAUCUGGCUAGAGUCCGGAAGAGGAGAGUGGAAUUCCUGGUGUAGCGGUGAAAUGCGCAGAUAUCAGGAAGAACACCCGUGGCUAAGGCGGCUCUCUAGUACGGUACUGACGCUGAGACGCGAAAGCGUGGGGAGCGAACAGG
RNAcentral lists this ribosomal RNA (253 nucleotides) under uncultured bacterium. RNAcentral describes it as "partial 16S ribosomal RNA". It matches the Rfam family "Bacterial small subunit ribosomal RNA", at positions 524 to 776 of the family's 1533-position model. The record is from RNAcentral.